AACGAACGCUGGCGGCAGGCUUAACACAUGCAAGUCGAACGCCCCGCAAGGGGAGUGGCAGACGGGUGAGUAACGCGUGGGAAUCUACCGUGCCCUGCGGGAUAGCUCUGGGAAACUGGAAUUAAUACCGCAUACGCCCUACGGGGGAAAGAUUUAUCGGGGUAUGAUGAGCCCGCGUUGGAUUAGCUAGUUGGUGGGGU
Molecule: ribosomal RNA, 200 nt
Filed under: uncultured bacterium
Lineage: Bacteria
Description: partial 16S ribosomal RNA
Rfam family: Bacterial small subunit ribosomal RNA
Source: RNAcentral